GUGGGGAAUAUUGGACAAUGGGCGAAAGCCUGAUCCAGCAAUGCCGCGUGCAGGAUGAAGGCCCUCGGGUUGUAAACUGCUUUUGUACGGAACGAAAAGCCUGGGGCUAAUAUCCCCGGGUCAUGACGGUACCGUAAGAAUAAGCACCGGCUAACUACGUGCCAGCAGCCGCGGUAAUACGUAGGGUGCAAGCGUUAAUCGGAAUUACUGGGCGUAAAGCGUGCGCAGGCGGUUUUGUAAGACAGUGGUGAAAUCCCCGGGCUCAACCUGGGAACUGCCAUUGUGACUGCAAGGCUAGAGUGCGGCAGAGGGGGAUGGAAUUCCGCGUGUAGCAGUGAAAUGCGUAGAUAUGCGGAGGAACACCGAUGGCGAAGGCAAUCCCCUGGGCCUGCACUGACGCUCAUGCACGAAAGCGUGGGGAGCAAACAGGAUUAGAUACCCGAGUAGUCC
This 450-nucleotide ribosomal RNA is filed under the name uncultured bacterium. RNAcentral's name for it is "partial 16S ribosomal RNA". It matches the Rfam family "Bacterial small subunit ribosomal RNA", at positions 354 to 796 of the family's 1533-position model. The record is from RNAcentral.